Molecule: ribosomal RNA, 158 nt
Filed under: Pleurocybella porrigens
Lineage: Eukaryota; Fungi; Basidiomycota; Agaricomycetes; Agaricales; Phyllotopsidaceae
Description: 5.8S ribosomal RNA
Rfam family: 5.8S ribosomal RNA
About the family: 5.8S ribosomal RNA (5.8S rRNA) is a component of the large subunit of the eukaryotic ribosome. It is transcribed by RNA polymerase I as part of the 45S precursor that also contains 18S and 28S rRNA.
Source: RNAcentral
ACAACUUUCAACAAUGGAUCUCUUGGUUCUCGCAUCGAUGAAGAACGCAGCGAAAUGCGAUAAGUAAUGUGAAUUGCAGAUUUCAGUGAAUCAUCGAAUCUUUGAACGCACCUUGCGCCCCUUGGUAUUCCGAGGGGCAUGCCUGUUUGAGUGUCAUU